AUGCCGAUGCCAUAAUUCCACACAAUUGUUUCGCUAGAGCAGGAAAGCUCAAGCAAAACCCACUAAAAGUCAGCUAGCUAUAAUUUAUGCACGCACACACACGCACGCCAAGCGAUAGUGUGUGUGUGUGUGCUUGGCUUUUUGGCAGUUUAUGCCUUGAGUGGUGAGUCCCGCUGCUGAUGAUAAGAUAAGCUUCAAUAGAGGCCCAAACUCCUUGUUGUUGGUAAUUGACUCUAGUAUACCACAAAAUUCCUUCAUACGCCAUUGCGAUGUAAACGCGAAAAGAACGAGACAGAGCCAGCUUGAGAGAGCGAGACAGAUACAAAGUAGUAAGUGUUUUAAAGCCCAAGUUAAAAUAUUGAUCAUUAUUGAUACCAAGCAAAUGGGAAAAGUUAUCGAGGUCGAAAUUGGUUCUGCAUACAAUAUACAAUAAUAUAUGAUUCGGACGGUCGGACGGAGGGACAGACGAACGGAAAGAUGGAGAGGACGUACAGAGGGGCUAAUGGGCGUACGGACGGACAGACGGGCGAAGGGAUGAACAGACGGACGGAAUGACAGACGGACAGACAGACCAAUGGAAGGAUGGACAGACGGGCGAAUGGAUGAACAGGCGGACGGAUAGACACACGGACGAGCAGACGGACGGAGAGACACACGCACGGAGAGACACACGGACG
This is a long non-coding RNA of Drosophila arizonae, 677 nucleotides long. Lineage: Eukaryota; Metazoa; Arthropoda; Insecta; Diptera; Drosophilidae. The record is from RefSeq and is a predicted model, not a curated record.